RNAcentral lists this unclassified non-coding RNA (197 nucleotides) under uncultured fungus. Its description in RNAcentral is "sequence contains ITS1". Lineage: Eukaryota; Fungi. The record is from RNAcentral.
UUUUUUAGUUUUGUUUUUGGUUACAUUCUUUAACUUGGAGUUUAAAAUGAAGCCGCUCGACUAAUCCAGCGCUCGCGCGCCUUCGAAAUCGAGCCGAAUAGUGCACAGUGUUGGAGAGUGGAGGUCAGGCCUCUUUACCGAAGUAAAGAGCACCCUAAAAUUCACUAAUGAUCCUUCCGCAGGUUCACCUACGGAAA